RNAcentral lists this ribosomal RNA (505 nucleotides) under uncultured bacterium. Its description in RNAcentral is "bacterial SSU rRNA". It matches the Rfam family "Bacterial small subunit ribosomal RNA", at positions 10 to 507 of the family's 1533-position model. The record is from RNAcentral.
AGUUUGAUCAUGGCUCAGAUUGAACGCUGGCGGCAUGCCUUACACAUGCAAGUCGAACGGCAGCACGGGAGCUUGCUCCUGGUGGCGAGUGGCGAACGGGUGAGUAAUGCAUCGGAACGUGCCCUGAAGUGGGGGAUAACGUAGCGAAAGUUACGCUAAUACCGCAUAUUCUGUGAGCAGGAAAGCAGGGGAUCUUCGGACCUUGCGCUUUUGGAGCGGCCGAUGUCGGAUUAGCUAGUUGGUGGGGUAAAGGCCCACCAAGGCGACGAUCCGUAGCGGGUCUGAGAGGAUGAUCCGCCACACUGGAACUGAGACACGGUCCAGACUCCUACGGGAGGCAGCAGUGGGGAAUUUUGGACAAUGGGCGCAAGCCUGAUCCAGCCAUGCCGCGUGAGUGAAGAAGGCCUUCGGGUUGUAAAGCUCUUUCGCAAGGAAAGAAAACUUAUCUCCUAAUACGAGGUCGAGGUUGACGGUACCUUGAUAAGAAGCACCGGCUAACUACGUG